This 487-nucleotide ribosomal RNA is filed under the name uncultured bacterium. RNAcentral's name for it is "bacterial SSU rRNA". It matches the Rfam family "Bacterial small subunit ribosomal RNA", at positions 355 to 853 of the family's 1533-position model. The record is from RNAcentral.
UUAGGAAAUUUUCCCAAUGGGGGCAACCCUGAGGGAGUAACGCCGCGUGGAGGAUGACGGCCUUCGGGUUGUAAACUCCUUUUCUGUGGGAAGAGUAGAUGACGGUACCACAGGAAGAAGCCUCGGCUAACUACGUGCCAGCAGCCGCGGUAAUACGUAGGAGGCGAGCGUUGUCCGGAAUUACUGGGCGUAAAGAGCGCGUAGGCGGCGCUGUACGACUGGUGUGAAAGCCCCCGGCUCAACUGGGGAGGGUCAUCGGUAACGGCAGUGCUUUGGAGUGCAGGAGAGGGACGUGGAACUCCGGGAGUAGCGGUGAAAUGCGUAGAGACCCGGAGGAACACCAGUGGCGAAGGCGGCGUCCUGGCCUGCAACUGACGCUGUGGCGCGAAAGCUAGGGGAGCGAACGGGAUUAGAUACCCCGGUAGUCCUAGCCGUAAAACGAUGGACACUAGGUGUGCGUGGUAUCGACCCCACGCGUGCCGGAGCU